UACAGAGGGGGCAAGCGUUGUUCGGAAUUACUGGGCGUAAAGGGCGCGUAGGCGGCCUUCUAAGUCGAACGUGAAAUCCCCGGGCUCAACCCGGGAACUGCGUCCGAUACUGGAAGGCUUGAAUCCGGGAGAGGGAUGUGGAAUUCCAGGUGUAGCGGUGAAAUGCGUAGAUAUCAUCUGGAACGCCCAUGGUGAAAACAGGUAGCUGGGAGUGUGCUGACGCUGAGACACGAAAGCCAGGGGAGCGAACGGG
This 253-nucleotide ribosomal RNA is filed under the name uncultured prokaryote. RNAcentral describes it as "partial 16S ribosomal RNA". It matches the Rfam family "Bacterial small subunit ribosomal RNA", at positions 524 to 776 of the family's 1533-position model. The record is from RNAcentral.